Long non-coding RNA from Dromaius novaehollandiae (emu), 8444 nucleotides. RefSeq lists it as uncharacterized. The record is from RefSeq and is a predicted model, not a curated record. The transcript has 2 exons. NCBI's taxonomy places the organism in Eukaryota, Metazoa, Chordata, Aves, Casuariiformes, Dromaiidae.
CCCCCCCCCCGCCACCAAGACUCCCAAGAGAAGAGGACCAACAGGACGCCGCUGGAUCCGCAGCAGGGGAAAGAACACCAAAUAGCAUGAUGCUGAGAAACUCAUGUUAUGAAGUAGACCAAGCAAGGGAGAAGCUGGGCCAGGAGAAGCUUUGCACCCACAUUCAUAUACACGUGCACACACAUGCCUGUGUGCACACACCCUGUCGCAGUGAGCCGAGAACUGCUACAAUCACCACGCCAGUGCGUCAUUCGUCCCAGUCUUGGGAGAGGCCACACUUGCCCCCACCAGUCUCAGCACCAGGCUCUGGGCACGGUGUGAAAGCUUGCUUAGAUUUUCUUUUAAAAGUUGUGAAUCAUGAUAUUGCUAAAAAGAGGAAAACAUUGAGAAGAACUUUGAUUCAUAGAGUUUUAGUAGAUUGGUUUUUAUUUCAAUAUUAGUUACAUUUCAUGUAAUUAACAGUUAGUUACAUUAAGAUAAGUAGAGCUUAUGCCUAGAUGAGCCUUUUGUAAAUCAAGAAAAAUAAAAAUUAUUUCUAACAUUUAUUUAAAAGUAAAAUAAAUACCAUGAACCUUAAUAGUAACACACACAGAAAGGAAGAAAAGUGCAGCUGGUAUGCACUAUUGUAUCUUGCAUGCUAACAGUGUUACACGCAAAAUCUUGUUAAUGAUAAAAAGUGGAACACACAUCAUCUAUGAAGCCAAGAAUUUAUUGUUAGUGUAAUCAAAGUGUAACUGAAAUACAAUUCAGGGUAGUCAUAGUAGUCCAGUUACUGUGAUACUAAGUCUAUAUACAAACUAAAUCUUAUUAACAAUACUAUCGUUAAAAAAUUGUUAGACAGCAAAACCUUUUAGUAUCCACUCCUUUUAAUCUGUCAUUAUGCACACCUUGCCCAUGCUCUUUUGGGCCCUAAGGCAAGGGGUUCAGUCUAAAGGCAGGUUACAAUGUGCUGGCAGGAUCCUGAACUGGAGGAGGUGAGAUGUUAGCACUAACAUAGUGAUGUUUUCUUCCUCUUCUUUGCCAGGAGAUGCAUGAUGUUGAUGGCUUCUUUCUCCUCCUCCUUCUUCUGGGGUCUGCUUGAAGCCAAUUUUAUGUGUUUUGUAGCACACACCAUUCGUUCUUCAUCAGUCUACAGCUCCACAUUAGAUCUGACUUCAUUAUAAAUGGUGUGCUACACACAGGUUAGAUGCUUAGUCAUUUUUAAUAUCCCUAAAGCUGGCUUUACCCAGCUCUGAGUUUUCUUUGCUUAUGGUAACUGGCCACUGGUGAGCUGCUGAUUGCCCUGGUAUUGCCCCAUACCCAUGUAUUUAAGGCUUUUGCUACCAACCAGUCUCGUAUGCCUGUAAACUGCACCACACUUAUGCUGCAGAAAUAUUUCACUUUCGCACAGCAUAGCAGCAUGUUAUUGCUAUCUCUAAAAGAAUUAUUAACAAUGGGCAUCACACGAGAGAGGGCUAAGCAAAACUAAAAUUAGGUAACAAUCACCUACUUAUCAGAUAAUUGCUGUUGACAACAGCAGAAUUGUUGUAGACAACAGCUAAGGAAGCUAAAACCAAACCUCCAAGCAAACCAAGGCAAGAGAAGGCAAAGCCUGACAAGUCCUGAGACCUGUGCUUAAUCGUACCUUAAUACAGAGCCUGACUGUGGCCUGUCAAGAGCAAUAGCAGCAUUGUAUUUAUGAAACUACAGAGCCACAGCACAUGCACAUCCAACUGUUCUUACUAAAAUUUGCAUUUUCCUGAACUUGAAUUAAGUAAAAAAAUACAUAAUAAUUCACAUACCUACUCUGACAGAGCGUUGGAACACAAGGAACUUCAGAGCAUUUAUUCAUACAUGUCACAUUUAACACUGAAGUUAGGGCCAGAUUUGUUUGCAAGGGUCACAAGUUUCAGCAAGGAAAAUUCUGACUGGAUGUAAGGAAGAAAAUUCUUCUCAAGUAUGGUUAAGAGAAACAGAUUUCCUGGAAAGGCUGUGGAAACUCUUGCCCUGGAGGUACUCAGAACUCAGGUGGAUUAGGUCCUGAGCAGCCUGAUCUAACUUUGAAGUUAGCCUUAUUUUGAGAAGGGGUUUGGCCUUGAUGACACCAGGGGACCCUUUCAGCCUCAAUUUCUACUGUUUUGUGAUAAUACAACUAUCAGCAGGAGCUAAGCUGCAAGUAAAUACAAUUAUCCUCUUCUGAAAGCAUGAUCACCCAGUCUGCACAUGCACCCAGUUGAUAUGCUUGCAAAAGGGCCUUUUCCAUACAAAUUUGUCCCUAAAUUCACUGUUAAACAUUAAUUAGAAAUGUAGUAACACUGUGAAAUUCUUUGUGUUCUGAGAUUGUAUAUAAUGUAUUGGUUCAAACAGAAGUGCAAAGUUCAGACAAGAUGUGAAUUACAUGAGGGAAACUGUAAAAAGUUUGUAUCCUUCAGCUCUAGGCAAGGGUUAUCCCAGCGUCCUGGACUAAGUUGAAUAAGCAUUUGUCACACAAAUGUUUGCAACAUUAUUUCUCUAUCAACUUUCAGUGAAAUGCUAUGAGAAGUCCACUUUUCCAAAGGUGACUGGUUUUGAAAAAAAAAAAACCUAUAACAACAUAUUCGAUAGAUAUUCAUGAAGCUAUCAUGCCACAUAUGAAUGAGGAACUUAGCACAAAAGACAUUUUAAAAUAAAUCUAAAAGACUUUUGUUAUCGAUGGUUUGCUUAUCUACUUACUUCUGCUAGCUACUGAGCAUAUGCACAAAGUGGUAUAUACUGCUAAGGGUCCACUAGAGUAUCAUUUAUUACAGUUUCUAAUACAAAAAUACAUGUAGACUAACAGAUAAUACUUUAACUAAUAAAACAUGCUAGCAUUGUUGCUAGCAUAUUAACAAACAAUUUUCUGAGAGAAAGGAAGACAGAAAGGAUUCCUAUUUUAAAGUGAACAGAAAUAAAUAGUCAGAAAACAGAGCAACGAAACCUUGGGAGUUCAUCUAGCCCUUCUUCCUGAUAUAUCACUUGUAGGAUCAAAUAUACCAAUAUCAGGUUCACCUCUUUCAAAAAAUCUUCAGCAAAGGAGAUUUUGCAGCCCACAUCUUACCAUUAGAAAGUUGUACUUAACAUCCACAUGAAAUCUUCCAUACUUCUGUAUGUCAUUUUCUGUUAUAUACAUAGAGGAUAAGGAAAAGAGAUCAUUUUUUAUGCCUUUGUCUUUGCCUUCUGCAUAUUUGAAAAAUAAAAAAUAAAAAAAAAUAAAAAGGACAAAAAUAAAAAAAAUAAAAAGGACAAAAAUAAAAAAAAAGAACAGUGGGGCAAUAACUGCAUCAGCUGUCUUUUCUCUUCAGCUUUGUUUUAGAAACUGCUUAUGACUUUUGAUUUGCUCCCCCGGACUCCAUCCAGUUGAGUCACAUGUUGCUAGAAGCAGGCACCCAAAGCAGCACACAGAUCUCCAAUCAUGUUCUUACCAGUGCUGAAUAAAAAAGAUUUAUGCAUAACUGGAAACAUUAUUAUCUGAAAAUGAAAAAUGUCGCCUUUCAUACUCUUUCAGUUUUAUUUGUUUGAGCUUACUGGUAUUCCCAUCAAAUAGCCCAUUAACCAUUUUUGAGAGCAUUCAGACCACAUAAUUGAAAGUAUCAUCCCCACUUUUGUUAAUAUUGCAAAUAAUGGAACAACUAUAUAUUUCUAUUCACUUUAAGAUAGGAACCCUUUCUAUCUUCCUUUGUCUCAGAAAAUGGGCUUCAUGUUUUCCAGUUCUCUACCUAUCUUGGGUCUUUGCAAUGAAUGAGUGUUUUUAAGAAUGUUUUUUUCAAGCAUGGGCUAUGGUUUCCUUGUUUUGCCCAAUUACUGGAAGAUUGGGGCACUUGAUUUUGUAUGGCUCCCUUCAAAACAAUAGCAGUUUAAAUUUACAGGAGAGGUGACUUGCUGACUACACUGGGAGAUAAAUACAAAUGUAUAAAACCAAACCAUCAAGACUACAUUAAUUAAUUGAUAUGAUCUUGGUUAAAGCCAAAGCAGUAAUAUUUAUUAGUACCUUACAGAAAUGAAUGCAUCUACUUGUGAAAGAAUCUGUUAGUCAUGAGGAUUCUAGCCAUCAGAAGGCAACAGCUUCUUGCAUUUCUCUAGUUUUAUUAAAGGUAUCUUGACAAAUAUACAUCUCAGAAUCCUUAGACUUAAAAGCUCAUUAAUCAAGGUAAUCUUAUCAAUUGGAAAAGAAAAUGAUUUUUGCAAAAUUCACUAAUGUACAAUGACUGUGACUUUAAAAAGCUCUGAUUAUUUCAACAAGAAAAAAAUAGUAAAAGUUGUAGGAAAUAUAGAUCUUAUGUACAAAAUCCUACUUGCCAUAUUUUAUCCCUAUUUCAGAAAUUUUAAUAUCUAUGAAAAUAUUGUGUUAAUGUUCUAUUUUAUUCUUUCUUGUAGAUCAGUAUUCUGCUAGAUUCUUAAAAUUUGAGUAAUUUAUUAUGGGAAUUGCCUUAUUAAAUGAAAUAAGUCUUCCAUAGAUAACUGCUUGUUAAAGUAGGGCACAAACACAGAUAAAAAUGAAUUCAAGAUUUUGCCUGUCUCCUCUAAUAGUGUGUAUGUCAAGUAUGUAAAGUAAAAGGAUCAGGUAUUUGGGGAUCAAAGGUAUCAAAAUUUGCAUUUCUCAAAAACCCAAGAACUCUGAUAAAUAAAAGCUUACAAAAGCCACACUCAACCAGUAUAAUUGCUUAAUAUAUAGCCAUAGGAAGUAAGCACUGUCAAUCAAAUCUAAUCUCCUCUAUGCACUUCUAAGUUUUUCAAGCUCACUUACUACCUUAGCAAAUUAAAUCACCUAUCGUGUGAUCUGGCCCUCUAAUGGAAAGAAAAAAUAAUGGAAGUUUUGAUGAAAUAAGUAGUGUAAGUGAAGAUGGAAAAAGAUCAGAGACAAAUGAUAUUAAAAUCAUACAACUGUCCUUAUUUUUUAGGGGAAAAAUGGUUUAUUCUUUAUAUUGGGCUAAUUAAGGUUUGAUACAAUGCAAAAAAAUACAUCCUUCACUCCCUGACAUUGGUAAAUUGGUAACCAAUGUUUUUAAAAAUCCAUGUGGUAUAAUGUUCAUAGGCUAUCAGUAUUAGAGAUGCAAAACAGUUCCAACAAGAAAUCUACGGAGGAAAAAGGAUACAGAAAUUCUCUGAACAGUGGCAGUUUACAAAUUCCUGACACUGUGCAAAAAGAUGUAAGCAGCCUGUACAUUCACUUAGGGUGUAAUUCCCUCUGUGAAGAGCCAUCAGAAACCUAUAAAGCAUUUAACUCCCACUUACAGUCUAUUUGAAGUGUUUAAAUGGGACUUCAAGACUGUCUAUGCAUCAUUUUGAUGAUCUUUGCUGGAACAUAGGGUCUGAUCAACAGGCUGACUCAUAUGGAUGUAUUUCUGUAUCCAACAAAGUGAUUUAAUGGGACUCAGCAUAGACCCAGAGACAUCCAUUACAGAUGCAUCAGGCAGAGAAUCAGGGACAUACUCUUCUCCUGAAAGAGUAAAAUUCUCAGAGAGUUCAUCAAUACUUAAGCUCUCGUCAGACUAUUAAUGGAGACUAUGUUGUUUUCCUUACUCAUUAAAAAGAAAACAAUGAUAAUCUAAUCACUUACCGAUAUUUCAGUAGGCAUAUUAUCUACGUUUAUGCAAUUCUGCAAACAUUUAUUAUAUUCAAGUGUCUUUUUUAAUAUGAAGAAAAAGUUCACUAGUUGUGUUAGGUACCAUAUCUCAUCGUCUGGAGCAAACUAACAGCACAAAUUCAUACCUGAACAUCACAGAAUAAUCAGACAGUUACUCUCUUGAGAAUAUCUGGGAAGCCAAACCACUGGAUAGCUCCCUUUUUAAUUUUUUUUUAUUAAGAUAUAGUUUUAUGUAUUUCUCGCUAUAUAAGGUACAGUUUCAUCUCCUUUUUUUCUUUUUUCCUGUGUUUUUUCCAUGGGACUACUCUUCAGUUGUGUCUGGACUUCCUGUGAGGAAUCACCUUCACCCAGAUAAAGCUCAGGGACAAUUGGUGCUCAAUAUAAAAAGAAUCACUAAUACUACUCACAGAGACACAUGUUUUCCUAAAGGUCAUUAAAAUGGAAGAAAAGGGUUGGGGUUAUUUUCUAUUCCUGGCAAUAGCCUGGGGAUAAUGCAGCCUGCUCAUUUUCAUGCACAGUGGAGUGUUUAGGAAAUGAUUCAGCCUUCAUGAAAAAAAAAGUCCCAUAAGGUAAUGUAAGCUUGUACACAUGACAUGCUCUUUGACCUUAGAGGGCCAAAUAUCUGUUUACUGCACAUAUGCUAUUUAACAGACUUUAGGUUGUGACAGGGAGAGAAAGAAGUUAUUCCUCUUUUCAUCACAGACUUAUUGCAGGGUGAAAUUCUCAAGCCAAAAUUUUCCAACUUGGGUAUCUACAGUUAAAUUCCUAAAUCAGUGUACAAGAACCUCAACUAAAGGCCUGAUGCUCAGAAAUGGGAAGCACCCAGAGUAAUGACCUUUGGUUUAAAUGUUACCCAGAGAACAAAGGGAGCUACUUGCCUUCCUUUGUAAAGCAUGCAUAUAAAGCCUUAUCUAUACUCAGAAAAUGGCUAUGUGUAAUUGUAAAAUAUUGUAUUUUUCCUCCUGAUGAUGUUUAUAUAACAACUGAAACUAACAUUGCUUCCUUUUUCAAGCAAAAAUAUAUGCAAAUGUAACAUACAUUUUUGCCCUAUUUGUGCAUAAGAUAGAACUCUUAAGAAUCAAUAUGCAAUAAAUUAAAGGAACAGUAUUUAAUAUUUUUACAUCUGUUUAAGGUACAGAUGUCCUGUAAAGGGAGAAGAGGAGAAAUUCAGCAUUGUGCCUUGUGAUUAUCAGUAUUAUUUCUGAGUAGCUUGAUGACAUCAUUUCCCAAAUGGUCCUUCCUCCUCAGAACUUCGUUUUGUGCUAAGUUAGUGUCCCACUGCCCAAGGUAAAACCUUAAAGUACAUCACAUUUCUUGGAUUUGGGGAUUUUUUUUUUUUCUUGGUUUUAGUGAAUUCUUUUGGUAGAAGAAAAUAAUUAGGUGAUUUUAUUAAAAUAAUUAUAAAGCAUCAAGAAAUUUUCCAGUCUUCAUUCUGUCAGAAAAACAAAAAUAAAAAAAUAAAAAAAAACACAUACCUAUUCACUUCCCCCUAAGUUUGUCAACAUCUGGAUCAGCAAAAUACCUCUGCAGAUAGUGACUACUGCAAUGUGUACGAGGUCUGUUGGAUUCUCUAAACAUAGGCAUCUAAUGCCAUUAAGAUCCUGUAAGAUGUCACAGUUGACUUUCAGAAUUGCUCCACAAGGGCAGGCAUCUCCUCUACAUCUGGUGACACAACUGCUAAACCCACUGGAAUGUCUUAUAUAUCCUCAGGUAUCACAAAUGGCAUUAGCUGCAUCUGCUUAGGCAAUUGACUUGAAUCCUGGGCUCAUGUAUGCGCACAAAUGUAGUGGUCUAUAAUCCUGACCUGAACUUCUAAACUGUACACACCUAAAUUUAGAUGUUUGAAUUGACAGCUGAAUCCCAGGUGAAUUAACUAACAUACCUAAGUUCUGAAAGAGCUUACCAAAGAAAGUUGGAUCAGUCAUAUGUAACACCAGGUUAAACAAAGGUAGGUCAGAAUUAAUCUAAGUGUAGCUCAAAGUUGUGAGGAAGAAGUGGGAAAAUGACAUUUGAGGAAUAUUUAAUGUGCUUCAUAACACUAAAGUUACCUGGUUCUAAAGGAGCCUAAAAAUUAAGUUUUGUUCUUCAGCGGGACUAAAUCAAGUCUUAACUCUGUUUCAGUCCAUUAGAUUCUGCAGUUCACUUGACAUCUGAAGUAUGCUUGACAUCUGAGUGAGGCACUCUAAGCUCCUUUCUUAAUCACAGGAGAGAAAUAGAUAUCUGUUCAAAUGUAAAUAUCUAAAAUAGGUCAACCAAAUCAGACCCUAUAAGUGUUCAGAUAUAGAUAGCUGCACUAUAGACAACUCUUUUGUGACAUCAUUCAGUUUGUGUGUUUGUCAACUUACGUUUUUUCAUGAGAUUAAUCCUUCACUAAGAGUCUGAGUUAACCUUUUUAUUUAGCUGCUUCAAAGGAAAUGGAAAACAAAUUAAGUUAUUCCCUUUCUUGAGAGUUUUAAGUCAAAACUAGCAAUAGGUAAAAAGCUUUUUCAUAAAACUGAAGUGAAAUGUUUUGAUAUAUGAACAAAAUUAUGCUCCUGAAUUUCAGAAUUUAAGCUUUUGGAUGGUGUUAACAAUUUUUCAGACAAUCAGAUUUUUUUUUUUCUUGAAAGUUGGUAACUACAAUCCGGCAAUUUAUGCAAAUGUAUUUAAUUUGUUUUGAUGGGAUUCUGAAGAUCUAUACUCAAAUGUUGUUCUCACUGAAGCUCAUAUAAGUGGAGAUAUGUUAUAUUUUUUACUUAAUAAUAGUAAUUUUCUCGUUUAAGAUUUUGAGUGUUUGGGUUUAGUAGUUAUUCCUGAAUUUAUAUUUUGUUGUCAGAUACACAUGUCAAACUAAGUAAAUGUGGACAUUUCCAUUAGUAAAUUU